This 132-nucleotide ribosomal RNA is filed under the name uncultured Basidiomycota. RNAcentral describes it as "partial small subunit ribosomal RNA". It matches the Rfam family "Eukaryotic small subunit ribosomal RNA", at positions 1675 to 1804 of the family's 1831-position model. Lineage: Eukaryota; Fungi; Basidiomycota. The record is from RNAcentral.
GUCGCUACUACCGAUUGAAUGGCUUAGUGAGAUCUCCGGAUUGGCUUUGGGAAGCUGGCAACGGCUACCUAUUGCUGAAAAGCUGAUCAAACUUGGUCAUUUAGAGGAAGUAAAAGUCGUAACAAGGUUUCC